ACCCCAGGUNAGGCGGGACUACCCGCUGAGUUUAAGC
RNAcentral lists this ribosomal RNA (37 nucleotides) under Luffa aegyptiaca (smooth loofah). RNAcentral's name for it is "partial 25S ribosomal RNA". The record is from RNAcentral. Lineage: Eukaryota; Viridiplantae; Streptophyta; Magnoliopsida; Cucurbitales; Cucurbitaceae.